Molecule: ribosomal RNA, 271 nt
Filed under: uncultured bacterium
Lineage: Bacteria
Description: partial 16S ribosomal RNA
Rfam family: Bacterial small subunit ribosomal RNA
Source: RNAcentral
UUUAGAUGGCGACCGGCGCACGGGUGAGUAACACGUAUCCAACCUGCCGAUGACUCGGGGAUAGCCUUUCGAAAGAAAGAUUAAUACCCGAUGGCAUAGUUCUUCCGCAUGGUGGAACUAUUAAAGAAUUUCGGUCAUCGAUGGGGAUGCGUUCCAUUAGGUUGUUGGCGGGGUAACGGCCCACCAAGCCUUCGAUGGAUAGGGGUUCUGAGAGGAAGGUCCCCCACAUUGGGACUGAGACACGGCCCAAACUCCUACGGGAGGCAGCAUG